GUGAACGCUGGCGGUAGGCCUAACACAUGCAAGUCGAACGGCAGCACCGUAAGAGCUUGCUCUUACGGGUGGCGAGUGGCGGACGGGUGAGGAACACAUCGGAAUCUACUUUUUCGUGGGGGAUAACGUAGGGAAACUUACGCUAAUACCGCAUACGACCUACGGGUGAAAGCAGGGGAUCUUCGGACCUUGCGCGAUUGAAUGAGCCGAUGUCGGAUUAGCUAGUUGGCGGGGUAAAGGCCCACCAAGGCGACGAUCCGUAGCUGGUCUGAGAGGAUGAUCAGCCACACUGGAACUGAGACACGGUCCAGACUCCUACGGGAGGCAGCAGUGGGGAAUAUUGGACAAUGGGCGCAAGCCUGAUCCAGCCAUACCGCGUGGGUGAAGAAGGCCUUCGGGUUGUAAAGCCCUUUUGUUGGGAAAGAAAAGCAGCAGGUUAAUACCCCGCUGUUCUGACGGUACCCAAAGAAUAAGCACCGGCUAACUUCGUG
Molecule: ribosomal RNA, 491 nt
Filed under: uncultured bacterium
Lineage: Bacteria
Description: partial 16S ribosomal RNA
Rfam family: Bacterial small subunit ribosomal RNA
Source: RNAcentral